This is an RNA transcript of Lotus japonicus, 3211 nucleotides long. RefSeq lists it as uncharacterized. The transcript is spliced from 3 exons. Lineage: Eukaryota; Viridiplantae; Streptophyta; Magnoliopsida; Fabales; Fabaceae. The record is from RefSeq and is a predicted model, not a curated record.
AAACCCAGUAACUGUAAACCCUAUUCUUUACCACACUUCACUCUCUCGACUCUUAACCUCUUCUCCUUCUCUGAAACGCGUUUUACCUCUGCCUCCACCGUCCUUGCCGCCGCCGGAGACGUCCUAGCCGGCGUCGGAGCCGUCCUUCCCGCCGCCGUCCUUCCCGCUCUUGUUUUGUGUUCCUUUGUGCACGGUUCUUGCCAUCUUAACCUCUGUUCCAUCUCUCAAAAGCUUGCUGCACCUUGUGCCUCCACCGUCCUUGCCGCCGCCUCCGUCCCUGCUGCCCCGUUGUCUCUUUGAAUUCAGAAACGCAAUGGAGUCUCUCUCAGGAAUCAAACCCUUUACUCUCUCGCGCGAAUCAAAUCCCUAGUUCGAUGGAGUCUCCUGUGGGCAGCUCCUAUAGACGUCUUCUAUUGCCACUCCUUCUCUUCCGUUCUGUGCGCGGCUCCUCCGUUUCUGUGCGCACACAUCUAUUCUUCUCUGUGACAGCCAUCAUACUUGUACGAUUUCCUCUCCAAAACUGUUUUGUUGUAUCAAACAAGCCAACAGAUGGGAAGCGUUUUAUCUGAUCCCUUGGGAAGGUAUCAAAGUGAGCACAGCUUCAAGAUAUAUUGAUUAUAUUCUGCCCCCUGAAUAAUGGAAUCAUAAAUCUUGUGGACGUGGUAGUGUCUAUCUUAGUUUAGUUUGUUACUUUUACCACUUUAUUUGGAUUUUAAAUUGUACUAAAUAAUGAAGGUUGUGGUUCUUGGAUAUAUCAAGAUCUGAUGCAGUAAAGGCUCAACAUAUUAAAAGAAGCUAUCAUACAAGUUUAAGUUCAAUGAUGCUUUGUUUCAGUCACAUUCUUAUUGUUCAAUGUGAAUUGUAUUUUAUGUUCAAGACUUUCCUGCAGGGUCAUGCUUGUUGUAUUGAUGGUUGUUCUUACUAUGCAGCUUUUACUCUUGCAAGCUUCUUUGAACGCUACAAGAACUUGGACCUUGCUAGGAAUUUUCAAUUUCCAACCUUGAGACAGGUUAUUUCUUGCUCAAGGAUCAUGCUUUACACCAUUCAAACUAACAUGUGUAUCUGUUUCAGAAUAGUCUUGAGACUAAGAUAGAGAAGUCAAGGAAGAAACUGAAGGAGAUAAAUAAUAGAGCUAAGAAGAUUUGUGGAGUAAAUAAGGUAAUUUUCCUUUCUCAACUAAUAUCAAAUUAGAGUUACUUACCAUUUGCUUGAUGUGUAUAAUGAGAUUGCUUAGUUUUGUAUUCUAUAAACCUUCAGUGAAACUGAUUUUCACGUCCUUUUCUUCUUUUGAUCACACUUUGUCCUAGUCUUCAAUAGCAACCCUAGGAUAAAUCCAGCACACCUCUUACAGUUUUUGAAUUGAUUAUGUUAGUUAGUACUUCUUUGGUUGAGAUUGGAUAUUACACAUGAGAGAUUAAAUUCUAGCCUUGCUCUAAUAAUUGUUUCUACCUUGUUAGAAUAAAAGAGAUGAUAAUUAAUACUGGUAUAUCCAGUUUAAUAUUGGUAAAGAAAAUAGUUCAUUUGAUUGCUUCAAUUGCAAUUGGCAGCAAAACAUGAGUACAUUGGAGUGAAAGAGAAAAUCAUCUCUUCUAGCUUUCUCUAGUACCUGCUUUGAUAUUUAACCUUUCAUACAUUUAAAGUUAAUUGUACUUUAAUUGAUUUUUAUAGCUGUUUCAUUGUAAAUUUUAUUUAGCAUUUUGUAAAUUUUUUCCCCCUCAUUAAGUUUCCUAGUUUUGUUCCUGCUUGGUCAUGAGUAAAUACAAUUUAGGAUUUUUUGAAAACUAAUUGGUUUUAUGUUAAUCUGCUAAGCUUGGUGUACUUGUAGUCAUUGGAAAUUAACAGGGGAUUGAAAACAAUAGUAGCCUUAGACUAUGUUUACAUACGCACAGUACUCUUUUUAUGAUUGGAGCACUAAUCCAAGGUACUCCCUGAGCAAUCUAUGAGACCAUAAUUGAAUAGCUGAAUGUUGAUUGUCAAGUCCGUGGUUUUGCUACUCUCCUUUUAUUAUUUGAUGCCUUAUCUUUCAUGCUUUCGUCUAACUUUUUUUGUUAAUUGUUGUUCAUAAUUAGUUUGGUAGAUUGGGAUAAUAUGGAUUGAAAAUGGAUAUUUGCGAACCGUGGUGGAACCGCUGUAAUAUAUAUUAUCAAAUACAGACAAAAACAAAAACAAAUUACAGCGGUUCCGUGGUGGAACCGCUGUAAUAUAUAUUAUCAAAUACAGCGGUUACCGGCUGAAACCGCUGUAAAAGAAGACUCAAGUACAGCGGUUAUUCUAGAGAACAACUGUUGUAGGUCUGUAUUUACAGCGGUUUUAUUAAAUCAACCGCUGUAAAUAAUGCAUCUUUUACAGCGGUUAGAACCGCUGUUAAGGCUUUUGCAGCGGCGAGAUCUACAGCGGUUCUGGACCGCUAAAAACCGCUGUAAAAGGCAAAAAAAAGCGCUGUAAAAGCCAUUUUUUUGGUGUAGUGGAAAUUGAACUAACAAAUAAAGAGUUAGAAAUAAUAGUAGAAAAUGAUUAUGGGUCAUGGAAACGAGCCCUGGACUUUUGUGGGGCUGAAGAAGAGAGAAAAGACCAUAAAUCCAUAAUGGCAUAAUAUACACGCGUCAACUGUUAAUUGUUGUUGGCUCUUCCUACUGGUUUUGAAAGGCAUGGCAGGGAUUGACUUGGGUAGUUAUAGGUCUACGUAGAAGCCUACAAGGAUGCAUGGUAACAGCUACCAAAGAAUGAGUGUACUUUGGUUGUUAACACCAAAUAUUUCGUACCCUUAAAAUUCAAUUAAACAUAAUUUUUUUAGUAAUAACUUAUUCACACUUUAUUCUAUCUCCUGUCUAAUUUUCACACAUUUUUUUUAUAUAUAUUUUUUUGCGUUUUUUUGUUACAUCACGUAUUAUAUCACUCAUUUUUUUGUUUUUCUUAUUAAUCUUUUAAGAUGUAUGUGGAAAAGAGAGAUGAACAAAACAUAAUUCAAUUUUUUGGUUACGGGUGCAUGUAUCAGAACAAGGGUAAAUUUUGGAUGACUUAGUGAAAUAACAUUAUGUCUUAACCAAUGUAUGUAGCACCUCGACUUUCACAGGUCACAAUUGUAGUCUUUCUAAAAUAAAUAUGCUGAAGUUUCUCAAGAAACCAUAAACGUGGAUAACUUUUUUCAUUUUCAAAGUGUUUUUCCUAACAAUAUCAUGCACAGGCACAGCUUACGACAAUAAGUAAUUAU